UAGGGAAUAUUGGGCAAUGGAGGAAACUCUGACCCAGCAACGCCGCGUGAAGGAUGAAGGUUUUCGGAUUGUAAACUUCUGUUAUGAGAGAAAAAUAAAUGAUGGUAUCUCAUGAGUAAGCCCCGGCUAACUAUGUGCCAGCAGCCGCGGUAAUACAUAGGGGGCAAGCGUUGUCCGGAAUCACUGGGCGUAAAGAGAGCGUAGGCGGUUUUGUAAGUCAAUGGUGAAAGCCCGAGGCUCAACUUCGGAAUUGCCGUUGAUACUGCUUAACUAGAGUGUGGGAGAGGAAAAUGGAAUUCCUAGUGUAGCGGUGGAAUGCGUAGAUAUUAGGAGGAACAUCGGUGGCGAAGGCGAUUUUCUGGAACAUUACUGACGCUGAGGCUCGAAAGCGUGGGGAGCAAACAGG
This 406-nucleotide ribosomal RNA is filed under the name uncultured bacterium. Its description in RNAcentral is "bacterial SSU rRNA". It matches the Rfam family "Bacterial small subunit ribosomal RNA", at positions 355 to 776 of the family's 1533-position model. The record is from RNAcentral.